UACGUAGGGACCAAGCGUUGUUCGGAUUUACUGGGCGUAAAGGGCGCGUAGGCGGCAAUUCAAGUCAUCUGUGAAAUCUCCGGGCUUAACCCGGAACGGUCAGGUGAUACUGUUUUGCUAGAGUGCGGAAGGGGCAAUCGGAAUUCUCGGUGUAGCGGUGAAAUGCGUAGAUAUCGAGAGGAACACCAGAUGUGAAGACGGGUUGCUGGGCCGACACUGACGCUGACAGCGCGAAAGCCAGGGGAGCAAACGGG
This 254-nucleotide ribosomal RNA is filed under the name uncultured bacterium. RNAcentral describes it as "partial 16S ribosomal RNA". It matches the Rfam family "Bacterial small subunit ribosomal RNA", at positions 524 to 776 of the family's 1533-position model. The record is from RNAcentral.